AGCCCUUACCACUCUUCUGCCUUGGAGCCAAUACACAGUAUUGACUCCAAGACAGAAGGUAAGGGUUUAUACACACACACACAUAUAUAUAUACAUAUAUAUAUAUACACACCCAACUAUGUAUCUAUCCUUCCAUAUUUCUGUGUAUAUGUCAUUUCUAUUCAUUCAUCUAUGUCUGUUUCUGUAAAUUUGUUUUUCAAUAAUCUAUCCAUCUAUGUAUCUAUUAAUUUUUCUUUAUUUCUCUUUUUUCUACUAAUCUUUCUCUCCGAUUGACUCUUUCUAACUUUCAGACUGUUAGUUUGUUAAUGUACAUAUGUAUCUAUCUGUUCAUCGAACCAUCUAUUUAUCCAUUCAUAUCUUUGUGUAUCUAUCAAUCUAUGUACUUGUGUAUCUAUCUGUCUUUGUAAAUCUGUCUAUUUAUUUAUGCAUCUAUAUAUCUAUUUAUCCAUGUAUCUGUUUGUCUCUAUUUCUCCAUACAUGUAUCUAUCCAUCUCUCUAUCUCUCUCUCUCUCUAUCUCUAAUUCCUUUCUUCCUCCUGUUGUAAUUAAACUCCAUAAAAGAUUGACUGCUGACUUGAGUUUUCAUUUAGGAAUUACAUAGCUGAAUUCCUUGGAGACCUUAAAUUAAUAUAUAUCAGUCUUUUAAAGUGAUUUCCUUGUCA
RNAcentral lists this long non-coding RNA (661 nucleotides) under Monodelphis domestica (gray short-tailed opossum). Its description in RNAcentral is "lncRNA (ENSMODG00000042218.1)". The record is from RNAcentral. Lineage: Eukaryota; Metazoa; Chordata; Mammalia; Didelphimorphia; Didelphidae.